Molecule: ribosomal RNA, 391 nt
Filed under: Bicosoecida sp. CB-2014
Lineage: Eukaryota; Bigyra; Bicosoecida
Description: partial Bacterial small subunit ribosomal RNA
Rfam family: Bacterial small subunit ribosomal RNA
Source: RNAcentral
GAGGGGGUUAGCGUUGUUCGGAAUUACUGGGCGUAAAGCGCACGUAGGCGGAUCAGAAAGUUAGGGGUGAAAUCCCAGGGCUCAACCCUGGAACUGCCUCCAAAACUAUCAGUCUAGAGUUCGAGAGAGGUGAGUGGAAUUCCGAGUGUAGAGGUGAAAUUCGUAGAUAUUCGGAGGAACACCAGUGGCGAAGGCGCCUUUCUGGACUGUGUCUGACGCUGAGAUGCGAAAGCCAGGGUAGCGAACGGGAUUAGAUACCCCGGUAGUCCUGGCCGUAAACGAUGGGUACUAGGUGUAGGAGGUAUCGACCCCUUCUGUGCCGGAGUUAACGCAAUAAGUACCCCGCCUGGGGAGUACGUCCGCAAGGAUGAAACUCAAAGGAAUUGACGGG